This 870-nucleotide ribosomal RNA is filed under the name Staphylococcus aureus. Its description in RNAcentral is "partial 23S ribosomal RNA". It matches the Rfam family "Bacterial large subunit ribosomal RNA", at positions 1146 to 2017 of the family's 2925-position model. Lineage: Bacteria; Bacillati; Bacillota; Bacilli; Caryophanales; Staphylococcaceae. The record is from RNAcentral.
UAGUCGAGUGACACUGCGCCGAAAAUGUACCGGGGCUAAACAUAUUACCGAAGCUGUGGAUUGUCCUUUGGACAAUGGUAGGAGAGCGUUCUAAGGGCGUUGAAGCAUGAUCGCAAGGACAUGUGGAGCGCUUAGAAGUGAGAAUGCCGGUGUGAGUAGCGAAAGACGGGUGAGAAUCCCGUCCACCGAUUGACUAAGGUUUCCAGAGGAAGGCUCGUCCGCUCUGGGUUAGUCGGGUCCUAAGCUGAGGCCGACAGGCGUAGGCGAUGGAUAACAGGUUGAUAUUCCUGUACCACCUAUAAUCGUUUUAAUCGAUGGGGGGACGCAGUAGGAUAGGCGAAGCGUGCGAUUGGAUUGCACGUCUAAGCAGUAAGGCUGAGUAUUAGGCAAAUCCGGUACUCGUUAAGGCUGAGCUGUGAUGGGGAGAAGACAUUGUGUCUUCGAGUCGUUGAUUUCACACUGCCGAGAAAAGCCUCUAGAUAGAAAAUAGGUGCCCGUACCGCAAACCGACACAGGUAGUCAAGAUGAGAAUUCUAAGGUGAGCGAGCGAACUCUCGUUAAGGAACUCGGCAAAAUGACCCCGUAACUUCGGGAGAAGGGGUGCUCUUUAGGGUUAACGCCCAGAAGAGCCGCAGUGAAUAGGCCCAAGCGACUGUUUAUCAAAAACACAGGUCUCUGCUAAACCGUAAGGUGAUGUAUAGGGGCUGACGCCUGCCCGGUGCUGGAAGGUUAAGAGGAGUGGUUAGCUUCUGCGAAGCUACGAAUCGAAGCCCCAGUAAACGGCGGCCGUAACUAUAACGGUCCUAAGGUAGCGAAAUUCCUUGUCGGGUAAGUUCCGACCCGCACGAAAGGCGUAACGAUUUGGGCACU